UCGAUUGAGUUUGAUCCUGGCUCAGGACGAACGCUGGCGGCGUGCUUAACACAUGCAAGUCGAGCGAGAUUCAACCGGUGGCAACACCGGGGAAGAUCGAGCGGCGAACGGGUGAGUAACACGUGAGCAACCUGCCCCGAAGACUGGGAUAACACCGGGAAACCGGUGCUAAUACCGGAUACCCCCACCAGGCCGCAUGACCAGGUGAGGAAAUGCCUGCAUCUAAUAAAUGCAGCACGCUUCGGGAGGGGCUCGCGGGCUAUCAGCUUGUUGGUGGGGUAACGGCCUACCAAGGCGACGACGGCUAGCUGGCCUGAGAGGACGACCAGCCACACUGGGACUGAGACACGGCCCAGACUCCUACGGGAGGCAGCAGUGGGGAAUCUUGCGCAAUGGGCGAAAGCCUGACGCAGCAACGCCGCGUGGGGGAUGAAGGCCUUCGGGUCGUAAACCCCUUUCAGCAGGGACGAAACUGACGGUACCUGCAGAAGAAGCCCCGGCCAACUACGUGCCAGCAGCCGCGGUAAUACGUAGGGGGCGAGCGUUGUCCGGAUUCAUUGGGCGUAAAGAGCUCGUAGGCGGUUUGAUAAGUCGGGUGUGAAAUCUCCAGGCUCAACCUGGAGAGGUCACUCGAGACUGUUAUGACUAGAGUCCGGUAGGGGACCACGGAAUUCCUGGUGUAGCGGUGAAAUGCGCAGAUAUCAGGAGGAACACCAGUGGCGAA
RNAcentral lists this ribosomal RNA (724 nucleotides) under uncultured bacterium. RNAcentral's name for it is "bacterial SSU rRNA". It matches the Rfam family "Bacterial small subunit ribosomal RNA", at positions 1 to 719 of the family's 1533-position model. The record is from RNAcentral.